CGCAUCUGUGCAUGCAGCAUAUCAAUAAGCGGAGGAAAAGAAACUAACAAGGAUUCCCCUAGUAACGGCGAGUGAAGCGGGAAGAGCUCAAAUUUGAAAUCUUAAAGGGUUUCCCUUUACGAAUUGUAGUUUAAAGAAGUGUUUUCUGUUGAGGUUUUGGUAAAAGUUCUUUGGAAUAGGACAUCAUAGAGGGUGAGAAUCCCGUAUUUGACCUUUACUUUCAACUUUGUGAUACACUUUCAAAGAGUCGGAUUGUUUGGGAAUGCAGUCCAAAAUGGGUGGUAAAUUUCAUCUAAAGCUAAAUAUUGGCGAGAGACCGAUAGCGAACAAGUACCGUGAGGGAAAGAUGAAAAGAACUUUGAAAAGAGAGUUAAACAGUACGUGAAAUUGUCAAAAGGGAAGCGUUUGACACCAGUGUUGUUUUUCUGAAAAUCAAUUAAAGAACUGUUUAUGCUAAGUUGUUUAGACUUUAUCAGCUAACUGUUUAGUUUUGAGCUUUUCUUUAAUGCACUUUUCAGUUAACAAGUCAACAUCAAUUUCUUUUGCUGUAAAAAAGCUUGAGGAAGGUGGCUUGAGAUUCGUCUUAAGUGUUUAUAGCCUCUUGCCUAUGCAGUCGGAGAGAUUGAGGUCUGCAGCGUAGAUCCUUCGGGGCUAAAUGCAUUUGUGCUAAGUUAUAACAUUUCAUAGACAACUUGUUGACUAUGAUUUGUCUUGUAGCUUACUCGCUUAUGUUAUUUUACCUACGCUUAGGAUGUUGACAGCAGUAUAGACUGU
RNAcentral lists this ribosomal RNA (774 nucleotides) under uncultured Neocallimastigales. RNAcentral describes it as "partial large subunit ribosomal RNA". It matches the Rfam family "Eukaryotic large subunit ribosomal RNA", at positions 26 to 637 of the family's 3401-position model. Lineage: Eukaryota; Fungi; Neocallimastigomycota; Neocallimastigomycetes; Neocallimastigales. The record is from RNAcentral.